Molecule: unclassified non-coding RNA, 313 nt
Filed under: Basidiomycota sp.
Lineage: Eukaryota; Fungi; Basidiomycota
Description: partial contains small subunit ribosomal RNA, internal transcribed spacer 1, and 5.8S ribosomal RNA
Rfam family: Eukaryotic small subunit ribosomal RNA (bases 1-47)
Source: RNAcentral
AAAGUCGUAACAAGGUUUCCGUAGGUGAACCUGCGGAAGGAUCAUUAACAAAUCAACAACAACAACAACACCUGUGAACCCGUCCUCAUCGCCGCCGUCUCGUUAGCAGCAGCGCCCGUCUACGCCUGUGCAUCUCGCGCAUCUUGCCGCCGUCCGGUCGCCCGGCGUUGGCACUGUGCGUGCGUGCGUGGGGUAGGGUGGGGUGCUAAUGUGACAACGCGGUGUGCGAUGACAACAAUAUAGACUCUUUUCAUGACUGACAUACAAUCAAAAGUAAUUAAAACAACUUUUAACAAUGGAUCUCUUGGCUCUU